RNAcentral lists this ribosomal RNA (464 nucleotides) under uncultured bacterium. RNAcentral describes it as "partial 16S ribosomal RNA". It matches the Rfam family "Bacterial small subunit ribosomal RNA", at positions 339 to 795 of the family's 1533-position model. The record is from RNAcentral.
CUACGGGAGGCACCAGUGGGGAAUAUUGCACAAUGGGCGCAAGCCUGAUGCAGCCAUGCCGCGUGUAUGAAGAAGGCCUUCGGGUUGUAAAGUACUUUCAGCGGGGAGGAAGGGAGUAAAGUUAAUACCUUUGCUCAUUGACGUUACCCGCAGAAGAAGCACCGGCAAACUCCGUGCCAGCAGCCGCGGUAAUACGGAGGGUGCAAGCGUUAAUCGGAAUUACUGGGCGUAAAGCGCACGCAGGCGGUUUGUUAAGUCAGAUGUGAAAUCCCCGGGCUCAACCUGGGAACUGCAUCUGAUACUGGCAAGCUUGAGUCUCGUAGAGGGGGGUAGAAUUCCAGGUGUAGCGGUGAAAUGCGUAGAGAUCUGGAGGAAUACCGGUGGCGAAGGCGGCCCCCUGGACGAAGACUGACGCUCAGGUGCGAAAGCGUGGGGAGCAAACAGGAUUAGAUACCCCUGUAGUC